UAGACGGAUAGCUUGGUUUUGGUUCUGAUGAAGGACGUGGCAAGCUGCGAUAAGCCUUGGGGAGCUGCAUGCAAGCUUUGAUCCAAGGAUUUCUGAAUUAUCCUGAGAAGGAAAGAUACGCCGGGAAUUGAAACAUCUUAGUACCGGCAGGAAAAGAAAACAUAGAGUGAUUCCCUUAUUAGCAGAGAGCGAAAAGGGAAGAGGGCAAACUGAAUCUGCUCUUGAAAGAGAGUUAGAGAUGUGGUGAGGACCAAGGACUAAGUCAAUGAUUCAAACUUUUCUGGAAAGAAAGACCUUAGAAGGUGAUAGUCCUGUAGAAGAAAUUGAUAUGUCGUACCUCGAAAGAGUAGGGCUUCCUGAAUUGGAGGUCUGAAUACCGUGAGAACCUUCGGGUUCUCGGGGCACAGAGAAUCUUUGAUUCUCAGUGUGGCUGGAUUAACAGCCAACCCUAAAUAUAACCAAAGUCCGAUAGCGCACUAGUACCGCGAGGGAAAGCUGAAAAGUACUCUUAGCAGAGAGUUAAAAGACUUGAAAUCUAGCAGUUACAGUUGGUUACUGCUCUAUUCACUUUAGUGUGGAAGGGUUGUAACGUACGUUUCGAAGAACGGGCCAGGGAGUUAUUCUAUGUGGCAAGACUAAUCAAUUAUAUUGAGUAAUCAAAGCGAAAGCAAGUCUGAAAAGGCGUUAGUCACAUGGAUUAGACCUGAAGCCAGAUGAUCUAUUCAUGGAUAAGAUGAAGUCUCUCGAAAGAGGGAUGGAGGUCUGAACCGCUGUUGUGGACAUGCACUCGGAUGAUCUGUGAAUAGGGGUGAAAAGCUUAUCUAAUCUGGCGAUGGCUGGUUCCUGCUGAAAUAUGCCUUCGUAUAGUCUUGUCUAGUUUAUUAACAGUGUAAAGUACGGAUAAAUUUUGCAGGAGCUAAUGCUUACGGAAAUUUUUCCAACUCAGAAACUGUUGAUUGCUUAAGACAGGAAACAGGUACAGUAUGUAAGAUACUGUUCCGAGAGUGGAACAACACAGACCAAAGUUAAGGUCCAUAAAUUUAUGUUAAGUGUAUCGAAAGGUGUCUUGAACCUGAGACACUAGGGAUGUAAGCUUAGAAGCAGCUAUCAUUUAAAGAAAGCGUAACAGCUCACCUAUUGAGGUUCAGGGCCCUGAAAAUAGACCGGGCUAAACAUAAUACCGAUACUUUGGCGGUCCCCUGUUGGGGAUUCGGGUAAGCAGGCGUGCUUUUUGUGCAGAAGCAUCUUUGAGAAAAGGUGUGGAACAAAAAGCAAUGAGAAUCCUGGUAAUAGUAGGAUGUGAUUUUCCUGAGAACGGAAAAUGUCGAAAGGGUAAGGUUUCCUCGGCAAUAUAUGUUAGCCGAGGGUUAGUCAGCGCCUAAGUCGUAUCUUAACUGAGUACGACGAUGGAUAACAGGUUAAUAUUCCUGUACUGAUUGAAUCUUAUAAAGUAUUAUUUAGUUUUGGAUAAGUGAGCACUCGAAAGAGUGUUUUAGUGAAGAAAUCUGUCGAGGGUAAUCCAUAGACGCAGAUAAAUUUGCUAAACAAAAUCGCUGAUUCCGGGAUUCAGUGAAAAGAUUAUACUCUUGAUUUAAUUAGCUGUACCCAUAACCGGCACUGGUGCCCUGGCUGAAAAGGCUAAGACAUGAAAGGUAAAACCAAUUAAGGGAAUUCGGCAAGUUAGUCCUGUAGCUUCGGCUGAAGGGAUGUCUAUCUUUGUUUCUAUCAGAAAUGUUGGAGCAUUGGUAGAUCACAGUAACGAGGACGGCCCGACUGUUUACCAAAAACGUAGCCAAGUGCUAAUCUGAAAAGACUUGUAUACUUGGUGAGACCUGCCCAGUCGUGGUGUCUAAAACUCUUUUUCAAGGGAGCUAAGGCCCAUGAAACGGCGGGGGUAACUAUGACCCUCUUAAGGUUUCAAAUUACGAAGCCUUAUCAAAAUCUGACUAUAUGCUGGAAAAUCUGAGUAUCUCAUAAAUGACGACGACAAUUUAUAAAAUUGGCUCGCGUAAAACAAUUAUGAGUGCAGACAAUCAGCAGGAAAGACUAGAAUUGAUAACAUAAAUUUUUAAAAACAAUAAUUUGCUAAUUGAAUUAUGGAUAGAGAAACUGCAUAUGAUUUUGAAGACAAAGAAAAUGGAUUAAGAUUUUUAUCUAAGAUAAAAAGUAAGGGUUUUAAAACUCUAAAAGAUCCUGAUAAUCAAAAUCUAGUUAUUCGUCAUAAUGAUAGUAAUGUUGGAAGAAUAUUAUUGGAACAAUAUUUAAUUCUAUAUACAUCUUUUCCAGAAAGAAGAAAAGGAGAGACAAAAUAUAUAGAAUCUAUUUCAUUACUACAAAAGUUAGCAAAUAUUAAAUAACUAAUUCUAGAAUCCUCAGAGACUAUACGUCAGAAACUUUAACAAAAGUUAAGAUAUAGUCCGAUCUGUAUGGCGACAUAUAGAGACUAGCAGAAAUGACUAGUCCAUCAUUACAAUUAAUGAUAGUAACAAAAAUGAGCGUAAUACCUUGUCGAUUGAAUAUCGACUUGCAUGAAUGGUUUAACGAGGUUGUCACUGUCCCUAAUUGGAGCCUUCUGAAAAUAUCGUGUGGUGAAAAGACCACAGACGUCUAGUGGGAAGCUAAGACCUUAUGGAACUUUACUGCAACUUGUUGUUGUAAUUUUAAGAGAAAUGCCUAGCAUAGGUAGGAGCGUCGAGAUCAGGAUUUCGGUCCUGAUGGAGCAAAAUUGUAAUACUACCCAUUUUCCUUAAGAUUGCUUACUCUUUUAGAGGACAGCAGCUGGCGGGCAGUUUGACUGGGGCGGUGCCCUGUCGAAAAGAUAUCGAUAGGACUCAAAGAUAAGCUCAUCCAGCUUGGAAAUCUGGAGUUGAGUGCGAGGGCAAAAGCUUAUCUAACUGUAUUCUCAACAGUAAGGAAUGCAGAGAGGAAACUCGGACCUAGUGAACCCACAUGCUCUUUUAAUAGGAGCUGUGUCUGAUAGAAAAGUUACCCUAAGGAUAAUAAGCUGGUCGCCCCCAAUAGUCCAUAUUGACGGGGCGGUUUGGUGUUUCGCUGUCGGCUCUCCCUAUCCUGCGCGUGCAGAAGCGUGCAAGGGUGUCGGAGUUCACGCAUUAAAAGGGAUCGUUAGCUGGGUUAAGAACGUCGUGAGACAGUUUGUAUGAUAUCUACUAGAUGUGUUAUUGUCUGAGUGGAACAAGUAUCUAGUACGAGAGGAACGGUACUUGGAUGCCUCUGGUGAGCAGUUGUCAAUGGCAGGCUGCAUAGCUACGCAUUGAAUGGAUAAGAGCUGAAAGCAUCUAAGCUCGAAGCCAUCCGCAAAACGAGACAAUUAAAGCCGUCGUAGAAGACGACGUUGAUAGAGUUCUUGUGUAAGAU
RNAcentral lists this ribosomal RNA (3375 nucleotides) under archaeon BMS3Abin17. RNAcentral's name for it is "bacterial LSU rRNA". It matches the Rfam family "Archaeal large subunit ribosomal RNA". The record is from RNAcentral.